This is a long non-coding RNA of Triticum aestivum (bread wheat), 1495 nucleotides long. RefSeq lists it as uncharacterized. The transcript has 3 exons. The record is from RefSeq and is a predicted model, not a curated record. NCBI's taxonomy places the organism in Eukaryota, Viridiplantae, Streptophyta, Magnoliopsida, Poales, Poaceae.
UCGUGUGUACUUAGUAAUUUAGGUUGGCUGAACAUACUCCACCGAGAGGAAAUUUCAGCCCCGCUUGCGCAACCGCAUCGCCUGUAAUCACGCAAGGCCUGAAAAAAGGAUCUGAUCUGAAUUACCCUCCGAUAGUCACGCAACGCAUCCCUGUAAUCAUGCACCCUCAAGCUUGACGCUAACACACCAUCCCUACGCUCCCUGCCUGCCGGCGCCGCGCCGCCCAUGGAGCAGGAGCCGCCGCGACCCCCCGGCCUCGUGCCCUGCAGCCCGCAACAUACCUCGCCGCCGCGCCGCCGAGUGAGCAGGAGUGGCCGCGACCCCGGCCUCGUGAUGUGAAGCCCGCAGCAUGCCGCGCAACGCGCCGCCGCGCUGUCGACUGAGCAGGAGCCCCCGCGCACGUACACAAUAAGCAGACACCCAUGCAGCUGGAUGGAUUUUUCCUUGAGGAGCACACGCACCUAUGAAAACUGCAAGCCGCCGGCUUGCUUGAUCGGUGGCACGACUCAACGGAACACGCAGGCAAACACAACCGUUUUCAUGACCGAGCGUGUCUGUGGAAGCCGGCUCUCCUACCCAGGCCAUUCUCUGCAAGACCGGCGAAGACAGCUUCAGCCUCCCCUCCUCCCCGCCAAGGACGGAAUCACGGAAAGAUCUGCUUCAUCCAAACCGUGUCCGCGAGGACGACGGGCAGGUAGAUCCGUACAUAUACCAAGGUCGAUGUUGGCCGAUGCUUGCGGUUGCAAUUUCAUAUCCUGGCCGGUGAUGUAUUGAUGCUCAUUGUGAGCCAUGGAAUAAUAACCGGGAACUUUUCACCUCUCAGUCAUACUAGAUGAAUCCUUGUUAGAGAGAGACAGAGGGAGGGAGGGAGACCGGACAUGGAAAUAUGAAGGCAACUCAGUAUUGAAGAUAAUCAUAUUGCCCCAUGACAUGGUGCCUCUGCCACCGGCCUCGACGCAGAGUCCCCGCUGCCCCGCGCCUGGUGGCACGAUGUCUCCCUCUUGGCCGCCCGUCUGUUUCGGCCGCCCAGACGUACUCCCAUGAGGCCGCCCUCGUGUGCGGUGUCUGUCCCGCUCUCACUAUGGUGCCAUUGCUCUCCAUUGUAUUUUUUUUUAUUUUCCUAGCGCCAAGUAUUUUUAUUAAUUUUUGCCAUAGUACCAAUGUAUAGGUGUCAACAGGUUUUCCUAUGUUGAUCCCAGUUAGUACAAAAUGUUAGUUCAUGGCAUACAAAUCCGUUUAGCCUCUCUUUUGCAUGUGCUGACCAAUUUUAUAUAUUGUUGUGCAGAUGUAAAAUUGGCUUUUGUACGAGAAAAUAAGAUUCAAGAAGUAGGCAUCCUUAUCAGAGCAAUUGCAUUGUAAAGUAGUUUGCAUUUUGUUUUCGGUGGCUACACUAGAAGUGAAGACUACAUGCGUAUCAGUCAAUUUUAUUUUCUAUUGCUAAAUCUAUACUUCCCAAUCAAAAUACCAUGUCCACUUUAGAAAAUACCAUACUUGU